Molecule: ribosomal RNA, 460 nt
Filed under: uncultured bacterium
Lineage: Bacteria
Description: partial 16S ribosomal RNA
Rfam family: Bacterial small subunit ribosomal RNA
Source: RNAcentral
CCUACGGGCGGCAGCAGUGAGGAAUAUUGGUCAAUGGCCGUAAGGCUGAACCAGCCAAGUCGCGUGAAGGAAGAAGGAUCUAUGGUUUGUAAACUUCUUUUAUAGGGGAAUAAAGGUAUCCACGUGUGGCUAUUUGCAUGUACCCUAUGAAUAAGCAUCGGCUAACCCCGUGCCAGCAGCCGCGGUAAUACGGAGGAUGCGAGCGUUAUCCGGAUUUAUUGGGUUUAAAGGGUGCGUAGGUUGUUUUUUAAGUCAGCGGUGAAAGUUUGUGGCUCAACCAUAAAAUUGCCGUUGAAACUGGAAGACUUGAGUGUGUUUGAGGUAGGCGGAAUGCGUGGUGUAGCGGUGAAAUGCAUAGAGAUCACGCAGAACUCCGAUUGCGAAGGCAGCUUACUAAGCCAUAACUGACACUGAAGCGCGAAAGCGUGGGGAUCAAACAGGAUUAGAUACCCUUGUAGUC